This 1003-nucleotide ribosomal RNA is filed under the name uncultured bacterium. RNAcentral describes it as "bacterial SSU rRNA". It matches the Rfam family "Bacterial small subunit ribosomal RNA", at positions 8 to 1029 of the family's 1533-position model. The record is from RNAcentral.
AGAGUUUGAUCAUGGCUCAGAAUCAACGCUGGCGGCGUGCCUAACACAUGCAAGUCGAACGAGAAAGCGGGGGCAACCCUGCAAGUACAGUGGCAGACGGGUGAGUAACACGUGAACAACCUACCCUCGAGUGGGGGAUAACACCGCGAAAGCGGUGCUAAUACCGCAUAAUAUCUUUGGGUUGCAUGAUCUGAAGAUCAAAAGCGCAAGUUGCUUGGGGAGGGGUUCGCGGCUGAUUAGCUAGUUGGUGAGGUAACGGCCCACCAAGGCAACGAUCARUAGCCGGCCUGAGAGGGCGAACGGCCACACUGGAACUGAGACACGGUCCAGACUCCUACGGGAGGCAGCAGUGGGGAAUUUUGCGCAAUGGGCGAAAGCCUGACGCAGCAACGCCGCGUGGAGGAUGAAGGCCUUCGGGUCGUAAACUCCUGUCAGUGGGGACGAAGACAAUGACUGUACCCGCUGAGGAAGCCACGGCUAACUCCGUGCCAGCAGCCGCGGUAAUACGGAGGUGGCAAGCGUUGUUCGGAAUUACUGGGCGUAAAGGGCGCGUAGGCGGCAUGGCAAGUCAGAUGUGAAAUCCCCGGGCUUAACUCGGGAACUGCAUCUGAAACUGUUUUGCUUGAGUUCUGGAGGGGAUGGUGGAAUUCCCAGUGUAGCGGUGAAAUGCGUAGAUAUUGGGAGGAACACCUGCGGCGAAGGCGGCCAUCUGGACAGUAACUGACGCUGAGGCGCGAAAGCUAGGGUAGCAAACGGGAUUAGAUACCCCGGUAGUCCUAGCUGUAAACGAUGGGCACUUGGUGUUGGGGGGUAUUGAGUCCCUCGRUGCCGGAGCUAACGCGAUAAGUGCCCCGCCUGGRGAGUACGGUCGCAAGACUGAAACUCAAAGGACUUGACGGGGGCCGCACAGCGGUUGAAGCAUGUGAUCAAUUCGACGCAACGCGAGAUCUACCGGCUGACUGUACUGCGACUCGUGCAACACGGGGAUUCUCUCGGGAGACCG